Molecule: ribosomal RNA, 468 nt
Filed under: uncultured bacterium
Lineage: Bacteria
Description: partial 16S ribosomal RNA
Rfam family: Bacterial small subunit ribosomal RNA
Source: RNAcentral
GACGAACGCUGGCGGCGUGCUUAACACAUGCCAGUCGAACGGAAAGGCCCUGCUUUUGUGGGGUGCUCGAGUGGCGAACGGGUGAGUAACACGUGAGUAACCUGCCCUUGACUUUGGGAUAACUUCAGGAAACUGGGGCUAAUACCGGAUAGGAGCUCCUGCUGCAUGGUGGGGGUUGGAAAGUUUCGGCGGUUGGGGAUGGACUCGCGGCUUAUCAGCUUGUUGGUGGGGUAGUGGCUUACCAAGGCUUUGACGGGUAGCCGGCCUGAGAGGGUGACCGGCCACAUUGGGACUGAGAUACGGCCCAGACUCCUACGGGAGGCAGCAGUGGGGAAUAUUGCACAAUGGGCGGAAGCCUGAUGCAGCAACGCCGAGUGCGGGAUGACGGCCUUCGGGUUGUAAACCGCUUUCGCCUGUGACGAAGCGUGAGUGACGGUAAUGGGUAAAGAAGCACCGGCUAACUACGUG